AACCACAAAACGACGUCGUUUAACAAAAACUGAAGACACUAAAUCUCAAAAUCGAUUCAUAAUUCACAAUCUAACUCCCUAACCCUAGAAAAUCCACAAAUUCUAUUUACUUCUUGCUGAAUUGUUGCCAUAGCGCGGACCCGUGGAGGAAGAAAACGACUUCCAACGUCGGUUUGUCAUCUAAGAAAUAUGGUCAUUUAGGCUAAACAGAAGUAGCUCACAGAUAGUUAACCACAUCUUCAAGUUUUUAACAAAAAUUAAAUGUCAUGCUGAAAUAAGUGAAGUCAACAAAACAUAGCUAUUUUACAGAAAAGUCAACAAAACUUUGUGAUUAAAAUGACUUCUUUAAAGUUCAGGAUUAAAUCGUCUCAAAUUUGAAAGUUCGGGAUUUUUAUGA
This 397-nucleotide long non-coding RNA is filed under the name Capsella grandiflora. RNAcentral's name for it is "long non-coding RNA (CGRA_LNC001478)". The record is from RNAcentral. Lineage: Eukaryota; Viridiplantae; Streptophyta; Magnoliopsida; Brassicales; Brassicaceae.